AUAGUCAACGGAUACACGAAGUUUUUUUUUAUAACUAGCCUAUAGAGAGGAAACCAUACUUACGUUAUUGACUUAAUAUUGAUCUGAAAAUGGAUUCUAAAACAGAAUCUGAAUAUGAAGUAGAUUCACGGGAUUCAAGAGAGUCUGAUGACUCUGCGGGACCUAUCGACAUGAGCUCUUUUGCUCUACCUGACUUAGAAGCCAAUGAUGACGACGAGGAAUCUUCUGAAAGCUAUAAAGAAGACUUCUGGUUUGAAGACCUGGUAUGGCCAGACCCUUGCGGCCUGUUUCCUGCGCGAAGUGGCAUUAAGCCUGCCCUAUUGACCACGACAAUUGAUAGCACUGAUGUAGACAUAGAACUUGGCUCUGCAACCAGGUGUCAGAUGUCGUUGGUGGUCAAACGACGGCCCAGGCCUACAGAAUUGCCCUGGAAUGUUGUGGUCAUUAAUAGCGAUCCACCAAUCAUUGAAGAAGAUGAUGUUGAGGAAUAUUUGGUUCAUGACCCACUAUUUGUGGAGUUUUUUAACGCUUUCCUAUCGUUGCCUUCUUUCCCAGAGCCAAUCUGCUUUAACGUAGAGACUGGAGGUUUUGAAGUAGUCAGCGAUGAUAAACAAAAGCUGGCCCAACAGAUCAAAGAGGCUGUCAGGUCACAACACACAAUGUCUAAGAAAUAUGAGGUCACCAGGCAGCAUGCAUUCUCUGACAUGCCCGUUGUACCCAUUGAAGAUAAUGAUGCACCCGAGACUGUGAAGAUAGACACAUCAUUUCAAGUGAUUACAUUAAACAAGGAUCAAGGAAUCUACUGGAUAAAAUCAGAGCGGCUACCAAUCUUUCUAGAAAGUGAUUUUUAUUUCCAUUAUCGCCUGGCCAAAGUUAUCUCCCAAGUUCGUAUUGUCAAUGAUAAAGGAGAAUUUGUUGUUAUGAAAAUUGACUUCACCAGCAGACCAAAGAAGAAGAAAAAGACAGUUGAGGUCACACCCCCUGAACUGGAAGAAACCAUCGUGAAAGAAAUGUUUGUUAGUUUUGGGGAUGUGAAGGGAGCUGCUAAAGAAGCUUGGUUCACUCAAGCUAAAAAUGAAUUAAAGACUCAGCCAACAUAUUCCACUUUAAGCCUUAAGCCUUCUACAAUAGCUCCUUCUGUAUUAUCUCAUGAUGUUUUGGAACAGAAAGAGAAGAGUUCUGUGUUUCAUAGCCAGUACUUUGGAGUUUACACACCAGGCUUAAUUGGUCCUUUUGAUUCUGAGCCACCUAUCAACGACUACACUGAUAAAAUGUUCUCCAAAGAAAAACCUUUCACUCCUAGACCUUCUGACAAAAUCCAUUCAUCUACUGCCAUGUUAAGAAAAAAAAUCUGUGAUGCCGAGGAGGAAAUGGUGCCAGCAGGAAAUGUUUUAUUUUUGUGGCCAAAACAGGACCACCAGACAACAGAUGCAGAGUCUGGAAUUGGUGAGAUGGAUGAGAAGGAUGAUGAGUUUGAGAAGCGAAUCACUGCUCAGCCAAUCAUUGACCAGAUCUACUAUGAUGGAUCAUGGGAGUCUGGAGGAACUGGUGAAAUUAUUCUGAGAUCUGUUGAUGAAUUGGGCUCUGUCAUUGUUGGGGCUGUAAUGAAGAAAACUAUUGCUGAAAUGCUAGACAUUGAUGAGAAGAUUGUGUUGGCAGAUCCAGCAAUAAGCAGCAUCUAUCCUUCAAUGGACCUCACCUGUGUCUCUACUGACAGGCUAGAGAAUUUAGUUGUGGCAAAGAAACACAGCGUCCCAGAGAUGGACUUUGAUAUAGAAACUUUAAAACCAUUGAUGGUAGGAGCUGCAGAUGAUAAAGAACCAGUGCACAUCAAGUGGGACAAGCCGAUGCCUAAGCCAGCGGAAGAAGAAAGUGAUGCAGAUUCAUUGCUUGAUAGUGAUGAAGACUUUGAAGAGAGAGACAUUCAUUUCCGAAGAAAAAAGGAUAAAUGGCAUAGCUUGACAAGCCUCAAAGGGAUUAUGGCUUUCAAAAAGUUCCUAGAGGGCACACACGGAGAGAAAUACUGGGAACUGUGGAUAGAUAUUGAUAAAGGAAGACUGAUUAAUACAGAAGAAGAAAAACAGAGAUACAUUUUACACAUGAGAGACAAAUAUUACAAAAAGGGUUCUCCAUUUGAACUCUCACAAGAAGAUAAAAAGAAGUUGGGACUUGAGAAUUUAUCAAGUUGGUGUCCCAAAUAUCUCUUUCAGGUUCAUGCUAAAGUUUUGGAACCAUUGGUUUUAUAUUGGGCUCCUAGAUACCUAUUGAAACACUUACUACAGACUCAUCCAGAAAAAUAUUAUCUCUACAAUCAAAUGAAGUCAUCCUUGCCAGCCAAAGAAUCUGACCCAUUCCCACACACCCAAGAGCUGCUCCCCCUCAGACCAAAGUCCUGCUGUCCUAGGAUCAGAACAGGACCUGGAGUUGUGGAGGAGGAACCUGAGAAAAACAUUACAAGUCUGAUUAAACCCAAACCUGAUCCAUUUGCAACAACCCCAUUAACUGGAAACAAGCGGGUUUAUGGAGAAGAUACCAUUAAACGCUUAAUGAAGACACCGACUGCAAAGUAUCUUGGAUUGAAGCCACAAUCCAAACCAAAACAAAUGAGAGCAGCAUCAGCUAAGUCAAUUCCCUGUAAUGUUGCCCGGAGCCCUUCAGUUCUUCUGACUGGUAGAAAAUCCAUAGACAAAAUAGAACCUUCUGCUGGAAAGCUUACUGGUGUCAGUGGUAAAAAUUCUGAAGAACUAAUCAAUGCUGAGAGCAAGAUGGCUGCUCUGCCUAGUAAAUCUUGCACUACUGGUGAUAAAGUGCCAUGCCCUAGCAAACCUCUUACAGCCAUAUUAGGUGAGCGUUCUGUUACAGCUGGACUGACUUUGGCACCUCUUAAAAAGCCCAGAGAUUUGUUAUCACCCAUGAUGAAGAUUGUGGACACACACCAUAAGAAAUCUCGUCUAGAAGGGGACAAAGGAAAACAGCUAUACACUUUCUACAGACAAGACUCCCAAGAAGCUAGUAAAGUUUGUCCCAAGCCAGGAGAACCUCUCCAAGAAGAUAUUCAUUAUGCUGAAAUGACUGACUGUGAGUUCAUGGGUAGUGAGAGAAUGGAGUUUUUAUUGCAAGCACUUCACCAUGAACAGGAUUCUGGCAGGUCCUUUAGGAAAUACAUUCACAAAAGUGAACGAAUGGACUGGAUUAAUCACCUUGACUUUUGGGAAAAAGUUCAAGAAUACAGAAAACUGUUUUACAAAGACAAGCUUGAUCUUCAUUUAAUAGCAAAACAAGCCAAGCUAAUAUUUGCUCAAUGUAUUGUGGAAGGAGCAGCCCAAGGUAUUGGUGUGUCAGAAAGUAUUGAGUUGUCUAUCUUAGAUCAUCUAACUCCUGCUUAUGAAGAUUUGUUUGAUGAAGCUGAAGAGUUCACUCUCAAAGCUUUAUUUGAAGCCUUCCAACGUUACCUUAAUCAAGAUGUGAAAAGCUACUGCAAGGUAGAACGAGCAGAAAUAAAAAGAAGAUUAGAAACCAAAAAUAACUACAUUUUGAAUCUCCAAAAGAAAGGAAUCUUGAAGGAAAGAUCUCUCACACCGGAUGACCCUAUGGAGGGUUAUAAAGAUCCAGUGUAUGAUGAUUCUGUCCUGCAGAGAAUCCCUUCUGAGUUCAAACACUGGACAUUGGACAAACUGAUUCACAACCGAAUAGAACUGGAACAUUUUAGACAACAUCUAAAAGAAAACUUUGCAGAAAUAGAUUUGAAGUGUUGGAUGGAUAUAGAAGCUUGGAGAAGGACACCACAUGAUGAUGCUAAAAGUAGAGAUCAAAGAGCACGGGAUAUAAAAAAAAACUAUCUGAACAGAAAAUACUUUUUUGGUCCAAGCAGCCCUGCCGGGAAAGAAGGACAAAACAGAGUAAUGGAAUUAGGUGGAGGCUGGGGCAAGUUUUUAGAAGACAAACCUCACAGUAGCUCUAUACUAGAAGCACAAAAAUAUGUCCGUCAAAGGUUGGAAAAUAAACAUUUGCCCCUGUUCUUACUGUCAAAAGGCUUCCAAUCUCGUAACACGGCAGAAGACAUCUCCGAGGGCACAGAUGACCUACUAGCUACUAGGAAGCGUCGGGCACAGGCUGUUCUCAAGCUUCUAGAGAGCAGAUGGAUUUCUUCUACCAAAGAAAUUUACAUGUUCAAUAAAGCUUUAUUGAAUCCUUUGACAUGUCAACAGUUUCAGAAGUUUGUGUCACUGCAAGGAGAACAUCUGGAAAAUGACAUUUUAUUUUGGUUAGAGGUAGAGAAAUAUAAGCAUUUACACAAUACCCAUACAGAUGAAGGUUUAUUACAACAAAAAGUCUCAGCCAUCAUCAACUGUUUUAUUGAUUCCUCUAUACCACCCAGUCUGCAGAUUGAUAUACCACAAGAAAUGGCAGACAAAAUACUGGACCAUAAGCACGAGAAGAACCCUUACCUCUUUCGUGAAGCUCAGUUAGCUGUGUUUCGCAUUUUAUUACAAUAUUGGCAACCUUUUUGUGAUUUCCGUGCCAACAUGGACUCAGACACAAAAGUUCUCAAAACUCUUGAACGUCACAGACUCAUUGCAGAUUAUAAGGAAAAAAUUCGAAGAGAAGAAAUUAUGACUCAACGAGAAAAGGAACGCCUUCAGCGUAUUGAAAUGGGCAUAUAUUCUGAGGAAAUGGAUCAGAAAGGAGAAGAGGAGGGUGAGGAGAAGACAGAUCAUGUCAGGUUCAGCUACUCUGCCUAUCUGGAGGAACAAGAACAGUGGAAACGUAAACUAGAAGCACAGUUUCAGCUGACAGGAUCCUGGGAAGACUGGGUCAACUACCAGCAUGCACUGGGCAAUUAUGAUUUAGAAAAUAUGAAGCUUGUAACAGUUGCUGAUAGAGGAUCUCAAACCAUUCGGAGAAAAAUCUAUCUCUUGAAGAAGGUUGACUUGUUGUUGAGAAAUGCUUUUGCUGAUGAUUCUUCAUAUAGUUCUGAUUCAAUGUUUCACCUUCAACAGGAAACAGGAUACUAAAUCUGAGUCUGAUGAUUCUGAUGCUUUAAUAAACAUCUCCCAAUAUUUUCUUCAUGGAUCAGAGCUCAAAGAUGAUCAGUCAGUAAAGACAUCUGAUGUGUCUAGAUUUAAAGGAGAACAAGCAAGGAACUUAGUCAAGAAAGUUUAAGUAAAUUAUACAUACAUUUAAAUUAAUUAUAUGUUUAAACAAAUUAUCUAAUUACUUGAUGAAGCUGUUUUAUAAAAUACAUGUAGGGCCUAUUUAUUUUUGUGUCAUUGUUUCAUGUUUCUAUUUGAAUUGUUAUGAUGAGCUGUGAUAGCAACUUAAAACUCUAUUUGUUUUUACUAUGUAUUUAUUGAUGUGGUCUCAAUAAGCCACUCUAUUGUUUGAAGGGCUCUCUAUCUCAUUCAUAACUAAAACUGUUAGAAUUGAAUUCAGUGUUCAUUUUAGCAGUAAUAGAAAUACUUUUUUUUUAUUCUGUAUUACAUUUUGUUCAUUAUUGUUUCAUGAGCCCACACUUUUCUGUGAUAAAAUUAUUUACUUACAAAUUCAAACUAGUUUGAUAGCAUUAAGUACCUAAUUAUAACAUUAUUAUAUACAUCUCUUACAUCAUCUGCCCUAUAUAGAUUGCAAGGCAGAAAUGAGUUCUUAACUUUUUACUAUAUAGAUCUAUAAUAAAUAAUAUAUAUUUCAAUAUUA
Molecule: RNA transcript, 5694 nt
Organism: Biomphalaria glabrata
Lineage: Eukaryota; Metazoa; Mollusca; Gastropoda; Planorbidae
Gene name: regulator of G-protein signaling 22-like
Exons: 26
Source: RefSeq, a predicted model, not a curated record